This 119-nucleotide ribosomal RNA is filed under the name Lepisosteus oculatus (spotted gar). Lineage: Eukaryota; Metazoa; Chordata; Actinopteri; Semionotiformes; Lepisosteidae. The record is from RNAcentral.
GCCAGCAGCUACAUCACCCUGCAACUCACAACUAGCAGCCCACUGAAGCUAAGCAUGUGUGAGCCUGGUCAGUACCUGGAUGGGAGACCUCCUGGGAAAAACUAAGGUUGCUGCCGGAA